This 325-nucleotide ribosomal RNA is filed under the name uncultured bacterium. RNAcentral's name for it is "bacterial SSU rRNA". It matches the Rfam family "Bacterial small subunit ribosomal RNA", at positions 29 to 337 of the family's 1533-position model. The record is from RNAcentral.
AACGAACGCUGGCGGCGUGCCUAACACAUGCAAGUCGAACGAGAAAGGGACUUCGGUCCUGAGUAAAGUGGCGCACGGGUGAGUAACACGUAGGUAACCUACCUCUAAGUUUGGGAUAACCUGUCGAAAGAUGAGCUAAUACUGAAUAAGACCACAGUUUCCUCGGAAGCAGAGGUCAAAGGUAGCCUCUAUUUAUAAGCUAUCACUUAGAGAUGGGCCUGCGUACCAUUAGCUAGUUGGUGAGGUAACGGCUCACCAAGGCAAAGAUGGUUAGCUGGUCUGAGAGGAUGAUCAGCCACACUGGAACUGAGAUACGGUCCAGACU